Molecule: non-coding RNA, 213 nt
Organism: Pelobates cultripes (western spadefoot toad)
Lineage: Eukaryota; Metazoa; Chordata; Amphibia; Anura; Pelobatidae
Source: the annotation of a GenBank genome assembly
CUCAAUGGCCUGAUACGAUUGGCCAUACCGGCCCUUUAUUCUGAUCCAACAGCUAAGAUGGUGGGACCAGGCAUCUCUGCCGAUUGGUUUAAAAUACAAAUUGAUACUAGACAGGGCUGUCCUUUGGCCCCUUUGCUGUAUGUAUUGAUCCUGGAGCCAUUUGCAGCUAAUUUAAGAGUUAACUAUCAAAGUGAGGGUGUUCGGUUAGAUGAG